Molecule: non-coding RNA, 1218 nt
Organism: Penaeus vannamei (Pacific white shrimp)
Lineage: Eukaryota; Metazoa; Arthropoda; Malacostraca; Decapoda; Penaeidae
Source: RefSeq, a predicted model, not a curated record
UUAUGCCACGUCGCUCCUGCAGGGCAACGAUCAGCAUUUGUCACAGGACAGUCAAGAGGUUUUUUUCUUUUCUUUUCUUUUCUUAUUUUGACAGAUUAACUUUUCUGUCUUUCUUUCUUUUUUAUUUACGAAAACAAUAUGGGAAUGAGACCCCAAGACACGCACGAAAACACGAGAGGAACACAGAGUCAAAUGAUGUAGCGAUGAAGAUUAUAUCGAUUUUUUAUACAUGGCUAUCGUUCUUUCUAAUAGAUAUACAGAAUAUAUGUAUAAACCUGAAUAAAAACAAAUUGCUUGGCUUUUCACUGAAGAGUAAAAAAAAAACAUAAAAAAGAAAGAAAAAUAUAAAAGGGAAAAUGAAGUAAGACGGAUAAAAAAUACAGUGGAGGGAUAAUUGGCAACUGUAACCUUGAAGCUUAAUAACAGGUGUAUUACCCGAUUUUUUAUUUUAUUUUUUUUUAUCCCUUUUUUCUGUAUCUGUCCUUUUUGGCCCCUCCCUCUUCCUGUAUAUAAGGGGCAAACAUCUAUCCGUCUGGUUAGUUUUCCCUUCAGGAGUAAACAUAGAAGUGGUAUAAUGAAGUGGUUUGUAGGCUUCUUGCUUUUGUCAUGUCUUUUGGCGGCAACGGAAGCACAGCGGCAAGUCAUCCGUGAAAAUGGAAAUCGACGAGCGUCUCCGCCCCUCCCAGCACGCCCACCUUGUCACUGCUUCAACCCACCCUGCCCUGGCUGUGACACGCCCAUAUUACCCAUCCUUACCAUUAGGUUCAAGCGUUAAGAACACAUGAACUUUGGAACUUAAUGGGACGAGGUCUGGCGACGCUCACUAUUCUGAACUUUUGUUUUGCAGGAAUUGAUAAUUGAUUUUUUGUUGAGCGCGCGCGCGCGUGUGUGUGUGUGUGUGUGUGUGUGUGUGUGUGUGUGUGUGUGUGUGUGUGUGUGUGUGUGUGUGUGUGUGAACUUUGGAUAAAUUGACCUUUGUUUAUCAUAUGUCUUAUUAAAAGCUUCUUUGGACUUUUUUGUUAAUAUAUCUGUGUGUGUUACCGAGAACACCUAAUUUUAUCAUCUGUUUAUAUUCUUUUAUAUUUAUAUGUCUGAUUAAAACAACCCUUAUCCACUGGAAUUAAGGCUUUGUUCAAUCUACACAGAAUAUCCAUUGAGUGAAGAAUGUUGUCAAUUAUUUACCAAAGCAUAUUACAUCGGGCACUAAAUAAAAACGAG